Molecule: ribosomal RNA, 497 nt
Filed under: uncultured bacterium
Lineage: Bacteria
Description: partial 16S ribosomal RNA
Rfam family: Bacterial small subunit ribosomal RNA
Source: RNAcentral
GAUGAACGCUGGCGGCGUGCCUAAUACAUGCAAGUCGAGCGAACAGACUAGGAGCUUGCUCCUCUGACGUUAGCGGCGGACGGGUGAGUAACACGUGGAUAACCUACCUAUAAGACUGGGAUAACUUCGGGAAACCGGCGCUAAUACCGGAUAAUAUAUUUAACCACAUGGUUCAAUAGUGAAAGACGGUUUUGCUGUCACUUAUAGAUGGAUCCGCGCCGCAUUAGCUAGUUGGUAAGGUAACGGCUUACCAAGGCGACGAUGCGUAGCCGACCUGAGAGGGUGAUCGGCCACACUGGAACUGAGACACGGUCAAGACUCCUAAGGGAGGCAGCAGUAGGGAAUCUUCCGCAAUGGGCGAAAGCCUGACGGAGCAACGCCGCGUGAGUGAUGAAGGUCUUCGGAUAGUAAAACUCUGUUAUUAGGGAAGAACAAAUGUGUAAGUAACUAUGCACGUCUUGACGGUACCUAAUCAGAAAGCCACGGCUAACUACGUG